RNAcentral lists this ribosomal RNA (371 nucleotides) under uncultured bacterium. RNAcentral describes it as "bacterial SSU rRNA". It matches the Rfam family "Bacterial small subunit ribosomal RNA", at positions 527 to 896 of the family's 1533-position model. The record is from RNAcentral.
GGAGGGCGCAAGCGUUGUUCGGAAUCAUUGGGCGUAAAGCGCGUGUAGGCGGCUUGGCAAGUCGGAUGUGAAAUCCCGGGGCUCAACCCCGGAACUGCAUUCGAAACUGCCUCGCUAGAGUCCCGGAGAGGAGGGCGGAAUUCCCGGUGUAGAGGUGAAAUUCGUAGAUAUCGGGAGGAACACCAGUGGCGAAGGCGGCCCUCUGGACGGUGACUGACGCUGAGAUGCGAAAGCGUGGGGAGCAAACAGGAUUAGAUACCCUGGUAGUCCACGCUGUAAACGUUGGGUGCUAGGUGUCGCGGGUAUUGACCCCUGCGGUGCCGACGCUAACGCAUUUAGCACCCCGCCUGGGGAGUACGGUCGCAAGGCUA